RNAcentral lists this ribosomal RNA (310 nucleotides) under uncultured fungus. RNAcentral describes it as "eukaryotic LSU rRNA". The stretch from base 1 to 70 matches the Rfam family "5.8S ribosomal RNA", at positions 85 to 154 of the family's 154-position model. The record is from RNAcentral. Lineage: Eukaryota; Fungi.
GUGAUCAUCGAGUCUUUGAACGCAUCUUGCGCUCCUUGGUAUUCCGAGGAGCAUGCCUGUUUGAGUGUCAUAUUAUCUCUCAACCCUUGGGUUGGACUAUGGACGUCUGCGGGAACCAGCCUUCCGCUCGUCUCAAAUGCAUUAGCAGGUGCCCUUGCUCCUUGCUGGCGUUUAGUAAUGCUUGCGCCGCGCGAGGUCGCGAACAGUGCCUUUCUGCUUACCAGCCGGCACCCCGAGUGCCAAUUUUGACCUUCUGGCCUCAAAUCAGGUAGGACUACCCGCUGAACUUAAGCAUAUCAAUAAGCGGAGG